This 253-nucleotide ribosomal RNA is filed under the name uncultured bacterium. RNAcentral describes it as "partial 16S ribosomal RNA". It matches the Rfam family "Bacterial small subunit ribosomal RNA", at positions 524 to 776 of the family's 1533-position model. The record is from RNAcentral.
UACGUAGGGUGCAAGCGUUAAUCGGAAUUACUGGGCGUAAAGCGUGCGCAGGCGGCUAUGCAAGACAGAUGUGAAAUCCCCGGGCUCAACCUGGGAACUGCAUUUGUGACUGCAUGGCUAGAGUACGGUAGAGGGGGAUGGAAUUCCGCGUGUAGCAGUGAAAUGCGUAGAUAUGUGGAGGAACACCGAUGGCGAAGGCAGCCCCCUGGGUUAACACUGACGCUCAUGCACGAAAGCGUGGGGAGCAAACAGG